AAUAAUCUGGAACCCCAACGAGUGUCGACAGCGCCAUGUUGGCUUAAGCGAAGAAGUGCACGGAGAGUAAUCAACGUCCGUGAAUGUUCUCCGUUUAACAAUCUCCCAGCGAUGGAGGAGACAAAAAUAAUAUACCACAUUGACGACGAGGAGACACCGUACCUAGUUAAGCUAACAAUAUCACCGGAGAGAGUGACUCUAGCCGACUUCAAGAAUGUCUUGAAUCGUCCGAGCUACAAGUAUUUCUUCAAAUCGAUGGACGACGAUUUCGGCGUUGUCAAAGAAGAAAUAGUUGACGAUGACGCACAUUUACCAUGUUUCAACGGAAGGGUUGUGUCUUGGCUGGUUUCUGCUGAAGGCAGCAACGUAUCAGAUGGAGCAUCGCAGUGCACAGAUUCCGUAGCAAACAGUGAGGCAAAACAUGAUCGCCCUGACCAUGUUACUCCAGGACACAUGAACCGAGCACCUCCACUGCUCUCACACGAUGACACAUUGACAGAAACUGAGAGUAUUAUAAGCAGCAGGCAAGGCCAUCAUCUGCACAAAAGUUCGCGGCAUCAUUCGGACAAAUAUGAGAGACAUAACAAAUACAAUGGGUUACGCAUAAACGGCCAUUCCAAGCAUCGUUCCGGACAUGGAUAUGAAACCGCAUCGAUUUUAAGCUCCGACUUAGAGACAACUACUUUCCUGGAAUCUGAUGACGAUGCGAGCAGCCGAAUAACGUCUACGACUGGGCGACACACGAACACAAGCAGUGCCAUAGAUAGAGCAACCUUAGACCGUCGCAGGACGCAGCGAAAACGUCGUCACAGAUUACCACCAAUGUCAAGAACGUCAUCGUUCAGCAGCAUCACUGACAGCACCAUGUCUCUGAACAUUAUAACCGUAUCACUCAAUAUGGACACUGUCAAUUUUCUCGGCAUUAGUAUCGUUGGCCAAAGUAACAAAGGAGGUGACGGCGGCAUCUAUGUCGGCUCCAUCAUGAAGGGAGGAGCUGUAGCUUUGGAUGGCCGAAUAGAACCGGGAGACAUGAUACUUCAAGUGAACGAUAUCAAUUUUGAAAACAUGUCCAAUGACGAGGCUGUCAGGGUGUUACGCGAAGUGGUUCAAAAACCUGGGCCAAUAAAACUCGUGGUAGCAAAAUGUUGGGAUCCAAAUCCCAAAGGGUACUUCACGAUUCCACGAACGGAACCAGUGCGUCCCAUAGAUCCGGGAGCAUGGGUUGCACACACAGCUGCUAUCAGAGGUGAAGGUUUUCCACCUCGACCUCCUAGUGCCACAACUCUUACCUCAACCUCUAGUAGUCUUGCCAGCACAAUUCCAGAUACCGAACAGACAACUGUGUCCACAGGUCCGAUUGAGGAGCUUCAUCUUACGAUGAAUACGGACAUGCCUACAAUUGUCCGUGCAAUGGCAAGGCCAGAUUCUGGACUUGAAAUACGCGACCGUAUGUGGCUGAAAAUAACUAUUCCGAAUGCAUUUAUUGGCGCAGAUGUUGUUGACUGGUUGAAUUCGCACGUCGAAGGAUUUAUAGACCGACGCGAUGCUCGGAAAUAUGCCUCGCUAAUGCUCAAAGCAGGCUUCAUCAGACAUACAGUAAACAAAAUAACAUUUUCAGAACAGUGCUAUUAUAUUUUUGGUGAUUUGUGCUCUGCGAUGAGUAGUAUGAAAUUGGAUUGCGAUACGGUCGGACCCCUGCCGCCGCCAUCUGCAUGGGAUAUGCCAUAUUCUGGAACUUACGCCCCCCACUCGGCAACUGGAUACAGUCCUAUGCCGUUUAACUUUACAAAUGAGCCUACAGUUUACGGAUAUCACCGCGAGGAGAGUGUACAUAGUGGAUCAGGUGGUAGUAGCGCCGGAAGUGAGCACAUUUGUAAAGAACCCAUCCAUGAUCUGAAGUCCUGUUCUUCUGCUUCCGAAUCGGACUUACAUAUUCCAUCUAUACCAAGUAUGCCUAAUAAGAAUACAGGCAAUGGAAAUGGAUCUAACGGAAAGAGAUCAAAUGGAAGUCGCAGUCGCUCCAGUGGCUCUGAGCAAUCCGUGCAGACUGGAACUGGUUCCGGAAAUCAGCAAGAUUUAUCUGGUGGGUGAUGCAGGGCGUCGCAGACUAGAGGAGACGCAAACACAAACUAGCGACUUGGAUAAUAACAGCAGGGAUGGAACAUUCGAGGAGGAUAUCCUGGAAUACCAAUUCUCGCACAA
This 2202-nucleotide unclassified non-coding RNA is filed under the name Neodiprion pinetum (white pine sawfly). RNAcentral's name for it is "segment polarity protein dishevelled homolog DVL-3, transcript variant X3". The record is from RNAcentral. Lineage: Eukaryota; Metazoa; Arthropoda; Insecta; Hymenoptera; Diprionidae.